Homo sapiens (human) is the source of this 668-nucleotide long non-coding RNA. The record is from Ensembl. Lineage: Eukaryota; Metazoa; Chordata; Mammalia; Primates; Hominidae.
GGUGCCCCAGCCCCGGGAGGCCCUCCUCAAGCCCUUGCCUGCUCUGGGACCCCUGGCUGCGGGCUGACCCUGAAGGGGCAUCUUGAGGCCAGGACUGGACCUGGCAAGGCCCCGGCCGAGGUCACGGCUCGAGUGUGACUGUGAACUUGGACAUCUGACCCCAAAGCUCACUCCUGGGACAAACCCAAGAGAAUCGGAAACAGACGUCACACAAAUUGUUGUCCACAGAUGUUCAAAGCAGACUCUUCAUAGCUGCUCAGGUGUCCACAAACGAUCGACAGAUAAGCCCAGCGUGGCCCUCCACACCAGGGAACAGGAUUCCACCAGGAAAAGAAUGAGGCCCGCACGGCUGCAGGGGGUGAGCCUGGAGAAUGGCGAUGGGGGACAGAAGCCAGACACACAGCCCCGACUGUGAGCUUCCGUUUCUAUGCAGGCCCAGAACAGGCGGGUCCGGAGGCGGGAGGAGGCCCGGGUUGCCAGGGCGGCGGUGGGAGAGAUGCUCACGGGGAGGGAGUUCUCUUCCAGGUGGAGAGCGUUUGGAACCAGACGGGAGUGAGGGUCACUCAACAUCGCAAAUGGACUAAAUGCUACCGAAUUGUACGCUUUAAAACGGUUCAUUUUAUGUGAUGUGAAUUUCAGCUCAAUAAAGAAAAAAGAUUUAAAAUGUG